Molecule: ribosomal RNA, 2932 nt
Filed under: Escherichia coli
Lineage: Bacteria; Pseudomonadati; Pseudomonadota; Gammaproteobacteria; Enterobacterales; Enterobacteriaceae
Description: 23S ribosomal RNA
Rfam family: Bacterial large subunit ribosomal RNA
Source: RNAcentral
GGGUUGUGAGGUUAAGCGACUAAGCGUACACGGUGGAUGCCCUGGCAGUCAGAGGCGAUGAAGGACGUGCUAAUCUGCGAUAAGCGUCGGUAAGGUGAUAUGAACCGUUAUAACCGGCGAUUUCCGAAUGGGGAAACCCAGUGUGAUUCGUCACACUAUCAUUAACUGAAUCCAUAGGUUAAUGAGGCGAACCGGGGGAACUGAAACAUCUAAGUACCCCGAGGAAAAGAAAUCAACCGAGAUUCCCCCAGUAGCGGCGAGCGAACGGGGAGCAGCCCAGAGCCUGAAUCAGUGUGUGUGUUAGUGGAAGCGUCUGGAAAGGCGCGCGAUACAGGGUGACAGCCCCGUACACAAAAAUGCACAUGCUGUGAGCUCGAUGAGUAGGGCGGGACACGUGGUAUCCUGUCUGAAUAUGGGGGGACCAUCCUCCAAGGCUAAAUACUCCUGACUGACCGAUAGUGAACCAGUACCGUGAGGGAAAGGCGAAAAGAACCCCGGCGAGGGGAGUGAAAAAGAACCUGAAACCGUGUACGUACAAGCAGUGGGAGCACGCUUAGGCGUGUGACUGCGUACCUUUUGUAUAAUGGGUCAGCGACUUAUAUUCUGUAGCAAGGUUAACCGAAUAGGGGAGCCGAAGGGAAACCGAGUCUUAACUGGGCGUUAAGUUGCAGGGUAUAGACCCGAAACCCGGUGAUCUAGCCAUGGGCAGGUUGAAGGUUGGGUAACACUAACUGGAGGACCGAACCGACUAAUGUUGAAAAAUUAGCGGAUGACUUGUGGCUGGGGGUGAAAGGCCAAUCAAACCGGGAGAUAGCUGGUUCUCCCCGAAAGCUAUUUAGGUAGCGCCUCGUGAAUUCAUCUCCGGGGGUAGAGCACUGUUUCGGCAAGGGGGUCAUCCCGACUUACCAACCCGAUGCAAACUGCGAAUACCGGAGAAUGUUAUCACGGGAGACACACGGCGGGUGCUAACGUCCGUCGUGAAGAGGGAAACAACCCAGACCGCCAGCUAAGGUCCCAAAGUCAUGGUUAAGUGGGAAACGAUGUGGGAAGGCCCAGACAGCCAGGAUGUUGGCUUAGAAGCAGCCAUCAUUUAAAGAAAGCGUAAUAGCUCACUGGUCGAGUCGGCCUGCGCGGAAGAUGUAACGGGGCUAAACCAUGCACCGAAGCUGCGGCAGCGACGCUUAUGCGUUGUUGGGUAGGGGAGCGUUCUGUAAGCCUGUGAAGGUGUGCUGUGAGGCAUGCUGGAGGUAUCAGAAGUGCGAAUGCUGACAUAAGUAACGAUAAAGCGGGUGAAAAGCCCGCUCGCCGGAAGACCAAGGGUUCCUGUCCAACGUUAAUCGGGGCAGGGUGAGUCGACCCCUAAGGCGAGGCCGAAAGGCGUAGUCGAUGGGAAACAGGUUAAUAUUCCUGUACUUGGUGUUACUGCGAAGGGGGGACGGAGAAGGCUAUGUUGGCCGGGCGACGGUUGUCCCGGUUUAAGCGUGUAGGCUGGUUUUCCAGGCAAAUCCGGAAAAUCAAGGCUGAGGCGUGAUGACGAGGCACUACGGUGCUGAAGCAACAAAUGCCCUGCUUCCAGGAAAAGCCUCUAAGCAUCAGGUAACAUCAAAUCGUACCCCAAACCGACACAGGUGGUCAGGUAGAGAAUACCAAGGCGCUUGAGAGAACUCGGGUGAAGGAACUAGGCAAAAUGGUGCCGUAACUUCGGGAGAAGGCACGCUGAUAUGUAGGUGAAGUCCCUCGCGGAUGGAGCUGAAAUCAGUCGAAGAUACCAGCUGGCUGCAACUGUUUAUUAAAAACACAGCACUGUGCAAACACGAAAGUGGACGUAUACGGUGUGACGCCUGCCCGGUGCCGGAAGGUUAAUUGAUGGGGUUAGCGGUAACGCGAAGCUCUUGAUCGAAGCCCCGGUAAACGGCGGCCGUAACUAUAACGGUCCUAAGGUAGCGAAAUUCCUUGUCGGGUAAGUUCCGACCUGCACGAAUGGCGUAAUGAUGGCCAGGCUGUCUCCACCCGAGACUCAGUGAAAUUGAACUCGCUGUGAAGAUGCAGUGUACCCGCGGCAAGACGGAAAGACCCCGUGAACCUUUACUAUAGCUUGACACUGAACAUUGAGCCUUGAUGUGUAGGAUAGGUGGGAGGCUUUGAAGUGUGGACGCCAGUCUGCAUGGAGCCGACCUUGAAAUACCACCCUUUAAUGUUUGAUGUUCUAACGUUGACCCGUGAUCCGGGUUGCGGACAGUGUCUGGUGGGUAGUUUGACUGGGGCGGUCUCCUCCUAAAGAGUAACGGAGGAGCACGAAGGUUGGCUAAUCCUGGUCGGACAUCAGGAGGUUAGUGCAAUGGCAUAAGCCAGCUUGACUGCGAGCGUGACGGCGCGAGCAGGUGCGAAAGCAGGUCAUAGUGAUCCGGUGGUUCUGAAUGGAAGGGCCAUCGCUCAACGGAUAAAAGGUACUCCGGGGAUAACAGGCUGAUACCGCCCAAGAGUUCAUAUCGACGGCGGUGUUUGGCACCUCGAUGUCGGCUCAUCACAUCCUGGGGCUGAAGUAGGUCCCAAGGGUAUGGCUGUUCGCCAUUUAAAGUGGUACGCGAGCUGGGUUUAGAACGUCGUGAGACAGUUCGGUCCCUAUCUGCCGUGGGCGCUGGAGAACUGAGGGGGGCUGCUCCUAGUACGAGAGGACCGGAGUGGACGCAUCACUGGUGUUCGGGUUGUCAUGCCAAUGGCACUGCCCGGUAGCUAAAUGCGGAAGAGAUAAGUGCUGAAAGCAUCUAAGCACGAAACUUGCCCCGAGAUGAGUUCUCCCUGACUCCUUGAGAGUCCUGAAGGAACGUUGAAGACGACGACGUUGAUAGGCCGGGUGUGUAAGCGCAGCGAUGCGUUGAGCUAACCGGUACUAAUGAACCGUGAGGCUUAACCUUACAACGCCGAAGCUGUU